This 468-nucleotide ribosomal RNA is filed under the name uncultured bacterium. RNAcentral's name for it is "partial 16S ribosomal RNA". It matches the Rfam family "Bacterial small subunit ribosomal RNA", at positions 28 to 507 of the family's 1533-position model. The record is from RNAcentral.
GACGAACGCUGGCGGCGUGCUUAACACAUGCAAGUCGAACGGAAAGGCCCUGCUUUUGUGGGGUGCUCGAGUGGCGAACGGGUGAGUAACACGUGAGUAACCUGCCCUUGACUUUGGGAUAACUUCAGGAAACUGGGGCUAAUACCGGAUAGGAGCUCCUGCUGCAUGGUGGGGGUUGGAAAGUUUCGGCGGUUGGGGAUGGACUCGCGGCUUAUCAGCUUGUUGGUGGGGUAGUGGCUUACCAAGGCUUUGACGGGUAGCCGGCCUGAGAGGGUGACCGGCCAAAUUGGGAAUGGGGAACGGGCCAGACUCCUAAGGGGAGCAACAGGGGGGAAUAUUGCACAAUGGGCGGAAGCCUGAUGCAGCAACGCCGCGUGCGGGAUGACGGCCUUCGGGUUGUAAACCGCUUUCGCCUGUGACGAAGCGUGAGUGACGGUAAUGGGUAAAGAAGCACCGGCUAACUACGUG